CCUACGGGAGGCAGCAGUGAGGAAUAUUGGUCAAUGGACGCAAGUCUGAACCAGCCAUGCCGCGUGCAGGAAGACGGCUCUAUGAGUUGUAAACUGCUUUUGUACGAGGGUAAACGCAGAGACGCGUAUCUGUCUGAAAGUAUCUUACGAAAAAGCAUCGGCAAACCCCGUGCCAGCAGCCGCGGUAAUACGGGGGAUGCGAGCGUUAUCCGGAUUUAUUGGGUUAAAAGGGUGUGCAGGCGGAAGAUCAAGUCAGCGGUAAAAUUGAGGGGCUAAACCGCUUCGAGCCGUUGAAACUGGUUGUCUUGAGUGUGUGAGAGGUAUGCGGAAUGCGUGGUGUAGCGGUGAAAUGCAUAGAUAUCACGCAGAACUCCGAUUGCGAAGGCAGCAUACCGGCGCUCAACUGACGCUCAUGCACGAAAGUGUGGGUAUCGAACAGGAUUAGAUACCCUUGUAGUC
RNAcentral lists this ribosomal RNA (459 nucleotides) under uncultured bacterium. RNAcentral describes it as "partial 16S ribosomal RNA". It matches the Rfam family "Bacterial small subunit ribosomal RNA", at positions 338 to 795 of the family's 1533-position model. The record is from RNAcentral.